CGGGUGAGUAACGCGUGGGAAUCUACCUAGUUCUACGGAACAACAGUUGGAAACGACUGCUAAUACCGUAUACGCCCCACGGGGGAAAGAUUUAUCGGAAUUAGAUGAGCCCGCGUAAGAUUAGCUAGUUGGUGGGGUAAUGGCCCACCAAGGCGACGAUCUUUAGCUGGUCUGAGAGGAUGAUCAGCCACACUGGGACUGAGACACGGCCCAGACUCCUACGGGAGGCAGCAGUGGGGAAUAUUGGACAAUGGGCGCAAGCCUGAUCCAGCCAUGCCGCGUGAGUGAUGAAGGCCUUAGGGUUGUAAAGCUCUUUCACCGAUGAAGAUAAUGACGGUAGUCGGAGAAGAAGCCCCGGCUAACUUCGUGCCAGCAGCCGCGGUAAUACGAAGGGGGCUAGCGUUGUUCGGAUUUACUGGGCGUAAAGCGCACGUAGGCGGUUUGUUAAGUCAGAGGUGAAAUCCCGGAGCUCAACUCCGGAACUGCCUUUGAUACUGGCAAGCUAGAGUCCGGAAGAGGUAAGUGGAACUCCUAGUGUAGAGGUGGAAUUCGUAGAUAUUAGGAAGAACACCAGUGGCGAAGGCGGCUUACUGGUCCGGAACUGACGCUGAGGUGCGAAAGCGUGGGGA
This 629-nucleotide ribosomal RNA is filed under the name uncultured Alphaproteobacteria bacterium. RNAcentral's name for it is "bacterial SSU rRNA". It matches the Rfam family "Bacterial small subunit ribosomal RNA", at positions 103 to 767 of the family's 1533-position model. The record is from RNAcentral. Lineage: Bacteria; Pseudomonadati; Pseudomonadota; Alphaproteobacteria.